UACGGAGGGGCUAGCGUUGUUCGGAAUUACUGGGCGUAAAGCGCACGUAGGCGGCUUUGCAAGUCAGAGGUGAAAGCCCGGGGCUCAACCCCGGAAUUGCCUUUGAGACUGCAUCGCUAGAACGUCGGAGAGGUGAGUGGAAUUCCGAGUGUAGAGGUGAAAUUCGUAGAUAUUCGGAAGAACACCAGUGGCGAAGGCGACUCACUGGACGACUGUUGACGCUGAGGUGCGAAAGCGUGGGGAGCAAACAGGG
Molecule: ribosomal RNA, 253 nt
Filed under: uncultured bacterium
Lineage: Bacteria
Description: partial 16S ribosomal RNA
Rfam family: Bacterial small subunit ribosomal RNA
Source: RNAcentral